RNAcentral lists this ribosomal RNA (465 nucleotides) under uncultured bacterium. RNAcentral describes it as "bacterial SSU rRNA". It matches the Rfam family "Bacterial small subunit ribosomal RNA", at positions 28 to 477 of the family's 1533-position model. The record is from RNAcentral.
GACGAACGCUGGCGGCAUGCCUAAUACAUGCAAGUCGAGCGGAGAUGUGGGAGCUUGCUCCAACAUCUUAGCGGCGGACGGGUGAGUAACACGUGGGCAACCUGCCCUGCAGAUCGGGAUAACUCCGGGAAACCGGUGCUAAUACCGAAUAGUUUGGAACCUCUCCUGAGGUUCCACGGAAAGACGGUUUCGGCUGUCACUGCAGGAUGGGCCCGCGGCGCAUUAGCUAGUUGGUGGGGUAAUGGCCCACCAAGGCGACGAUGCGUAGCCGACCUGAGAGGGUGAUCGGCCACACUGGGACUGAGACACGGCCCAGACUCCUACGGGAGGCAGCAGUAGGGAAUCUUCCGCAAUGGACGCAAGUCUGACGGAGCAAUGCCGCGUGAGUGACGAAGGUUUUCGGAUCGUAAAACUCUGUUGUAAGGGAAGAACACGUACCAAUUAACUACUGGUACCUUGACGGUA